This is a non-coding RNA of Aedes albopictus (Asian tiger mosquito), 72 nucleotides long. The record is from Rfam. NCBI's taxonomy places the organism in Eukaryota, Metazoa, Arthropoda, Insecta, Diptera, Culicidae.
AUUUCUGUGGCUUAGUUGGUUAAAGCACCGUACUAGCGAUAUGGAGUCGCGGGGUAGAAUCCCACCAAAAUA